UUUAAGUGCAACAAUGAGUUUUCAUGUCCAAUUUUAAUCGCCCGUCUUAUUUUUUUUAUGAUUAGUAUUUUUGUUGUUAUUAGAUGAUAAAACAUGAAUAAUACUUUAUGUGUGACUUAUGUUUUUAAUUUUUUUAAAUUAUUUUAAAUAAGAUGAACGAUUAAAGUUAGACAUAGAAAAUGAUGCUUGCACUUGAA
RNAcentral lists this microRNA precursor (197 nucleotides) under Oryza glumipatula. RNAcentral describes it as "MIR812 microRNA precursor family". It matches the Rfam family "MIR812 microRNA precursor family". The record is from Rfam by way of RNAcentral. Lineage: Eukaryota; Viridiplantae; Streptophyta; Magnoliopsida; Poales; Poaceae.